RNAcentral lists this ribosomal RNA (505 nucleotides) under uncultured bacterium. RNAcentral describes it as "partial 16S ribosomal RNA". It matches the Rfam family "Bacterial small subunit ribosomal RNA", at positions 28 to 507 of the family's 1533-position model. The record is from RNAcentral.
GACGAACGCUGGCGGCGUGCCUAAUACAUGCAAGUAGAACGCACAGUUUAUACCGUAGCUUGCUACACCAUAGACUGUGAGUUGCGAACGGGUGAGUAACGCGUAGGUAACCUGCCUGGUAGCGGGGGAUAACUAUUGGAAACGAUAGCUAAUACCGCAUAAUAUUGAUUAUUGCAUGAUAAUUGAUUGAAAGAUGCUAUUGCAUCACUACCAGAUGGACCUGCGUUGUAUUAGCUAGUAGGUGAGGUAACGGCUCACCUAGGCGACGAUUCAUAGCCGACCUGAGAGGGUGAUCGGCCACACUGGGACUGAGACACGGCCCAGACUCCUACGGGAGGCAGCAGUAGGGAAUCUUCGGCAAUGGACGAAAGUCUGACCGAGCAACGCCGCGUGAGUGAAGAAGGUUUUCGGAUCGUAAAGCUCUGUUGUAAGAGAAGAACGGGUGUGAGAGUGGAAAGUUCACACUGUGACGGUAUCUUACCAGAAAGGGACGGCUAACUACGUG